RNAcentral lists this ribosomal RNA (255 nucleotides) under uncultured bacterium. RNAcentral's name for it is "partial 16S ribosomal RNA". It matches the Rfam family "Bacterial small subunit ribosomal RNA", at positions 524 to 776 of the family's 1533-position model. The record is from RNAcentral.
UACGUAGGGUGCAAGCGUUAAUCGGAAUUACUGGGCGUAAAGCGUGCGCAGGCGGUUUUGUAAGUCAGAUGUGAAAUCCCCGGGCUUAACCUGGGAACUGCGUUUGAAACUACAAGGCUAGAGUGUAGCAGAGGGGGGUGGAAUUCCACGUGUAGCAGUGGAAAUGCGUAGAGAUGCGGAGGAACACCGAUGGCGAAGGCAGCCCCCUGGGCUAACACUGACGCCUGAGGCACGAAAGCGUGGGGAGCAAACAGG